AAAUUACAGAAAUCACUUAAAUUUUACAAUAGUUUAGUUUAAGUACAGUUUAUUCGAAAAAAAUAAUAAAAUAUAUGUCACCGAUGAGUUAAAAAAGUAAUUUCAAUUUUAAUGCCAAAAAAUGGCCUUUGUUUCACCAAAAAAAGAUAAUUUGGAGCCUUUUCAAUGAUAUAAAUAUUUUUAAAGUCAUCUGGGGCCAAAGCAGUCGAUUGAUUUGGUCGAUUUUUGUACCAUAUCAUAAAGUAACAACUAAUAGUGUAAUAAAUAAAAUUUGAAAUGAAAAAAAAAAAAUGUUUCAACAUUUGCUGAUUUUUUUUGUACCCCCGAGCCUCC
RNAcentral lists this long non-coding RNA (333 nucleotides) under Mytilus galloprovincialis (Mediterranean mussel). Lineage: Eukaryota; Metazoa; Mollusca; Bivalvia; Mytilida; Mytilidae. The record is from RNAcentral.